UCCAUUAAGUGCCCCCCCAAAACCCCUACUGCUGAGCAGGAGUGUAAUCAUCUGGCUACUUUGGGGUAGAGGAAAUGUCCUGUUGACUCUACCAUCAGAACAUAUCUAGAAACUAAUGAUAUUCCAACAGUUUGAUGGGUGUCACUCCAGUCCUAGCCACCUGUGAUGGUUAAUGUCAUGUGUCAACCUGGUUAGGUUACAGUGCCCAGUUGUUUGGGCAAACAGAAGUGUAGAUGUUGCUGUGAAGGUAUUGUUUAGAAGUGGUUAACAUAUAAAUCAGUUAGCUUUGAGUAAAGCAAAUUACCCCCUAUAAUAUGCAUGAGCUUCAUUGAGUCAGGUGAAGACCUUAAGAGCAAAGACUGAAGAUUACCAGAAAAACAGCAAUUCUGCCUCAAAAUUGUAAUGGGAAGACCCUGACUGAAUAGCCAGUUGGCACGGCCUGCCCUGCAGAGUUUGGACUCAAGACUGUAUCAUCAACUCUUAUCUGAAUUUCCAGCUUGCUGACUUGACCUAUGGAUUUUGGACUUCUGGCCACUACGCUCAACUCCGUGACUGCAGUGAGAGGAGUAGUGGAUCCCGGGAGCACAGAGACCAGGCUCUUCCCUGCUGCUGGCAAGAGCAUUGGGGUCCCACCACUUUCUCCAGACCUCCCAUUGACUCCAUUUCACAACCCCUUUCAUUGUUGCAAGCACCCACCCAGCAAGUCCAGGUGCUAAGGCUCCAGUCCCAACCAACACUUCUACACGAGGUAUUAGCCAAAACCAAGUUGUUGGUAUUUGGGUUUGGGGGGUGGUUGUGUGUGUAUGUGUGUGUAUGUCU
Molecule: long non-coding RNA, 819 nt
Filed under: Mustela putorius furo (domestic ferret)
Lineage: Eukaryota; Metazoa; Chordata; Mammalia; Carnivora; Mustelidae
Description: lncRNA (ENSMPUG00000031874.1)
Source: RNAcentral